AAUUGUUCGCAAUGGGCGCAAGCCUGACGACGCAACGCCGCGUGGAGGAUGAAGACCUUCGGGUCGUAAACUCCUUUCGAUCGAGACGAAUUCCUCUGGGGUGAACAAUCCUGGAGGUUGACGGUACCGAGAGAAGAAGCCCCGGCUAACUUCGUGCCAGCAGCCGCGGUAAUACGAAGGGUGCAAACGUUGCUCGGAAUCAUUGGGCGUAAAGCGCACGUAGGCGGCCUCGCAAGUCUGAUGUGAAAUCCCUCGGCUCAACCGAGGACGUGCAUCGGAAACUGCGGGGCUUGAGUACUGAAGAGGAUCGCGGAAUUCCCGGUGUAGAGGUGAAAUUCGUAGAUAUCGGGAGGAACACCAGUGGCGAAGGCGGCGAUCUGGGCAGAUACUGACGCUGAGGUGCGAAAGCGUGGGGAGCAAAC
RNAcentral lists this ribosomal RNA (422 nucleotides) under uncultured bacterium. RNAcentral describes it as "bacterial SSU rRNA". It matches the Rfam family "Bacterial small subunit ribosomal RNA", at positions 360 to 773 of the family's 1533-position model. The record is from RNAcentral.